UCCAGUGGACGCAAGGGUGAGGAACACGUGAACAACCUGCCUUCGAGUUGGGGAUAGCUUCUGGAAACGGAGAUAAUACCGAAUAACAUCGACCGGAUCGCAUGAUUUGGUCGAUCAAAGCAGCAAUGCGCUUGAAGAGGGUUCGCGUCCCAUUAGCUAGUGGUGAGGUACGGCCCACCAAGGCGAUGAUGGGUAGCUGGUCUGAGAGGACGAUCAGCCACAUUGGGACUGAGAUACUGCCCAGACUCCUACGGGAGGCUGCAGUCGAGAAUUUUGGGCAAUGGACGAAAGUCUGACCCAGCAAAAUGCCCGCGUGCGGGAUGAAAGGUCUUCGGAUUGUAAACCGCUGUCAAGAGGGACGAAACAUGACGGUACCUCUGGAGGAAGCCACGGCUAACUACGUGCCAGCAGCUGC
RNAcentral lists this ribosomal RNA (415 nucleotides) under uncultured bacterium. Its description in RNAcentral is "bacterial SSU rRNA". It matches the Rfam family "Bacterial small subunit ribosomal RNA", at positions 90 to 518 of the family's 1533-position model. The record is from RNAcentral.